Molecule: long non-coding RNA, 2110 nt
Filed under: Gallus gallus (chicken)
Lineage: Eukaryota; Metazoa; Chordata; Aves; Galliformes; Phasianidae
Description: lncRNA (ENSGALG00010019370.1)
Source: RNAcentral
CCUCACCCAAAGCCAGGCAGAUCAGAGGCAUUGCUCUCCCAACCACAGUGCAGGAGGCAAUAGCUGGAGGGAGAUGGGCAUUAGUUUUGGUCAGUGAGAGGGCAGAGCUGUGCCCUGCAGGAGCAGAGAGCCACCCCUUCUGCACCCACCUGAGUUCUGUUCACCAUUUCCCAGGUAUUCCUUCUGGGUGCACGCUUUGCGCCCAAACUGCUCCUGUAAGGCAUGGGGGUUCUCCUCCCUCUCCUUUCUCAGACUGAGGAUGGACAAAGCUGCUGGUUUCAUAGCAGUGCAAGUGGACAGACAGCCCUGGUACUGACCCAGCCAUGUUCCCACCUGCCAGGGCUUGAUCCACACCCUCCAAACAGACCCAGGGUGCUGUUUUCUACCUGGAGAUCUAACUGCUAAUAGUUCUGCCCUGCUUCUCCUUCCUGAGCUAAUCUUAUGACUCACUGUGCAUUUCUUUCUGCCUUGUUUUACUAAUCUGCUUGGCAUUUGGUGGUUUCUUUGUUCAUUAUGCAGCGGGGCCGCAUAAGGGAUUUGCCUCUGGAAUUCAGGAGAGCCCUCCAAGUUUUGCCGCCCUCCAAUUGUUGCCACAAGCCCUGUACCUGCAGCACAGCAGACAUGACCUCCUGUCCUGCAGUCACUGUGCCCUUCAGACAAACAAUUCCACUCAGCCUCCUUCUUCAUGUAAUGGAAUCAUAGAAUGGCUUGGGUUGAAAAGGACCACAGUGACCAUCUAGUUUCAACCCCCUACUAUGUGCAGGGUUGCCAACCACUAGACCAGGCUGCCAUGCAUCCCAUCCUCUGCUUGCAAGCUGCUGAGUGAGUGCUGUCAUGCUGGGGCAUCCCCAGGCAAUAUGGGGUCCCUGGGCAAUGGGCUGUGAGGCUCUGAAUUUCAAUCAGGCAUUGGUAGUCACCAGCCCAGAUAGCAAAGUCCUUACAGAGCUGCAGUACAGUGAGCUCCUACACCAUGUCCAUUUAGGGGAGAAAAGCUCAGCAAUUCAGACAUGUUACAAUUUACAGAUCUAGGGAAAAAGGCUCAGUUACUCCUCACAGCAAGAGACAGUCAUGUGCAUGGCAGGGGACUGGCAAGAGACCAAGACAUGAGCUGAGACCUGCUGCUUGGACUGAGAUCUUCAAUUCCUCCAGAGAAAGAUCACGAAGCCAUUUAAAGAAAGGAAAGACAAAAGAGAACACUAAUAAAUCUCACAGAUGGACUCAGGACAAGCUUCACAUCUUCCUCUGACACUCCUGAUGCCUGCAUGGCUGACAGUGGUGCCAGCACCAGGCAGGGCUCCGGGGCUGCUGGCUGCUGCUGGGCUCUGUCCGAGGGACUGCAGCCUCAGUGCUGAAUACCCAAUACUGAAAACCUCUGCCCAUCUGUCCUGCACUACAAAACAGCCUCAGGGUGUUAUCCAGUCCUGGGGUCAGCUCAUACUCCAGAAUUAGCCUGCAGCACAGCCGAUUUCGUUUCAGAAUUACAGUGAGAGCCAUAGCUUAAUACUUCUCACGGAGUGUAUCAGAGUUCCUAUUGUUGCCAUGGUUAUUUCAUCGAAGCCUGAGCUAUAACUUGAACACUGAAAUAAAUGAGUAUCAGAAUCAGCUGAAUAGCCCUGAGCAGCAAACACCACUGUGGGUUGCUAACUGAGCCCUUGCCUGCUCAUUACCUGAUGGAGGCUGUUCUCAAGUUUCACUUAACACCACUGCUAGAGCAGUAGGUACCUUUUAUUUCACUUGUCACCUGGCCUGAAUCCCAUUACCUCCUGACAAAUAGUGAGAUUAAACCUUAUUUUCUUAUGGGCUCCUUCAAGACUGUACUGGAGAAGCUUAGCAGCCUUCUACAGAUGGAGCAACCCCUCACCCAAGCAGGACCUGGAGAGGUACAGGCAGCAAUGGCCCCUGUAGCCACCGUGCAGCUUCUGAGGAGCAGUGUGAUGGGAAGGGCCAUCACUGCCAGGCAGGAGCACUGCUUCUCAGUGCCCAUCUGGUCCACACUGCAAGUGAAAUCACACAGCAAAUCUGGUUUCUAUCUGCCUUGAUAUCUUUUGUCCUCAUCUCUCCCUAUUUUUUUCUUGUUUUUUUUUUCUCCCUCUUUCCUUUAUUGUCUUUU